AGCCUGGAAACCAUGGCAGCAGCAGGAAGUUCCGGCUGUUUUAAAGUUGCGGUUCCGGUGUUCAAAAUGCCAAGGAUGAUGGGAAACUUGAGCUUGUUUAUCGGUUUGUACGGAACGCCACCCACCGUUCGGAAGCCAGAAUAUGCUUGAUAGAAGCAGUAUGGUGAAGGGGAAGAAUGCCUCGGGAGCCCAUGCUGAGGAUCCCUUUACCGAGGAAAACAUCUGACCCCGUGAGGUGCUAGAUCCUGGAUACCUGAGACACAUCAACUUCUCAGGUUUGGAAUGCACAAUGAUGAGACACAAAAACAUAAACAUCUCCAGAAAGAAGCUAUGACUGGAACACAGAGGACUACUAGAUUAAGUGGAAACAAUGCCCAGGCAUCCCAGUGCCCCCACUGAUGGUCCAGCUAUCAUCAAGAUGGUGACGAGUUACAUAUGACCUGGAGGAGGACUGUGCAGAGUACCUUCUAGCACCAUAAACACUAAUCAGUGAGCAAUGCUGAACUUCUAAUUAGGCAAGAGCUCAACCUCUUCAUGCUUGAGGACAUAAGCAUAUGCACACAUAUGAUAUACGACAUAUUCAAAUGCACACACAGACAAAGUAAACCUUACAAAACGUACUAAUCUGAGUGGAAACAGUGACAACAGGAGCCAGCCUUCUAUCACCACUUUGAGCCAGAGUUCAGGAUCAAGCUCAGAAGCUCACAGCUGCCAGCAGCACACUACUACUGCACUGUCUCCUUAGUCCAUGCUCACUCUUAAAUAGCCACAAAACACUCAGUGGUAUGGCAAAGGAAACCUCCAUUUCAUUUAGAUGUUUAUGAUAAUUUUUCCCACUUUAAUUAUUUUAUGUAGUUGAAUAUGAUUUUUUUUCCUAAGGAAUUUUUUUAUCUCAAUGUAAGACUCUUGAACCUUUAUGUUAUAUAUAAUUUCCUGUAGUUUUCAAAAUUGCUUUAAUAAAAAAGUUUAACUUUAAA
Rattus norvegicus (Norway rat) is the source of this 977-nucleotide long non-coding RNA. Ensembl lists it as uncharacterized. NCBI's taxonomy places the organism in Eukaryota, Metazoa, Chordata, Mammalia, Rodentia, Muridae. The record is from Ensembl.